This 76-nucleotide transfer RNA is filed under the name Rubrivirga sp. SAORIC476. RNAcentral describes it as "tRNA-Met". It matches the Rfam family "tRNA". From Rfam's summary of the family: Transfer RNA (tRNA) molecules are approximately 80 nucleotides in length. Their secondary structure includes four short double-helical elements and three loops (D, anti-codon, and T loops). The record is from RNAcentral. RNAcentral also lists the same sequence under 1 other name. Lineage: Bacteria; Pseudomonadati; Rhodothermota; Rhodothermia; Rhodothermales; Rubricoccaceae.
GGGCUCGUAGCACAACGGUUAGUGCAGCCGGCUCAUAACCGGACGGUUGCAGGUUCAAAUCCUGCCGGGCCCACCA